CACGCCGUAAACGAUGAGUGCUAGGUGUUGGGGGUCAAACCUCGGUGCCGCAGUUAACACAUUAAGCACUCCGCCUGGGGAGUACGUGCGCAAGCAUGAAACUCAAAGGAAUUGACGGGGACCCGCACAAGCAGCGGAGCAUGUGGUUUAAUUCGAUGCAACGCGAAGAACCUUACCAGGGCUUGACAUGUGGGUGAAAGCUGUAGAGAUACAGCCCUCUCUUCGGAGACAUCCAUACAGGUGG
Molecule: ribosomal RNA, 244 nt
Filed under: uncultured Finegoldia sp.
Lineage: Bacteria; Bacillati; Bacillota; Tissierellia; Tissierellales; Peptoniphilaceae
Description: partial 16S ribosomal RNA
Rfam family: Bacterial small subunit ribosomal RNA
Source: RNAcentral